Molecule: ribosomal RNA, 477 nt
Filed under: Escherichia coli O121:H19 str. 2010C-4989
Lineage: Bacteria; Pseudomonadati; Pseudomonadota; Gammaproteobacteria; Enterobacterales; Enterobacteriaceae
Description: bacterial LSU rRNA
Rfam family: Bacterial large subunit ribosomal RNA
Source: RNAcentral
GGGAUAACAGGCUGAUACCGCCCAAGAGUUCAUAUCGACGGCGGUGUUUGGCACCUCGAUGUCGGCUCAUCACAUCCUGGGGCUGAAGUAGGUCCCAAGGGUAUGGCUGUUCGCCAUUUAAAGUGGUACGCGAGCUGGGUUUAGAACGUCGUGAGACAGUUCGGUCCCUAUCUGCCGUGGGCGCUGGAGAACUGAGGGGGGCUGCUCCUAGUACGAGAGGACCGGAGUGGACGCAUCACUGGUGUUCGGGUUGUCAUGCCAAUGGCACUGCCCGGUAGCUAAAUGCGGAAGAGAUAAGUGCUGAAAGCAUCUAAGCACGAAACUUGCCCCGAGAUGAGUUCUCCCUGACUCCUUGAGAGUCCUGAAGGAACGUUGAAGACGACGACGUUGAUAGGCCGGGUGUGUAAGCGCAGCGAUGCGUUGAGCUAACCGGUACUAAUGAACCGUGAGGCUUAACCUUACAACGCCGAAGCUGUU